Small nuclear RNA from Panthera pardus (leopard), 96 nucleotides. The record is from Ensembl. Lineage: Eukaryota; Metazoa; Chordata; Mammalia; Carnivora; Felidae.
GUGCCCACUUUGGUAGCCCAUACACUAAAACUGGAAUGAUUCAGAGAAAAUAAGCACAAGGAAGACAUGCAAAGUCAUAAAGCCAUCUGUAUUUAC